Molecule: non-coding RNA, 74 nt
Organism: Podarcis lilfordi (Lilford's wall lizard)
Lineage: Eukaryota; Metazoa; Chordata; Lepidosauria; Squamata; Lacertidae
Source: the annotation of a GenBank genome assembly
GGCAUAUCUCAGUGGCAGAACAGCUGCUUUGCAUGCAGAUGGUCCCAUGUUCAAUCCCUGGCCUGACAUAUCCA